GUAAUGCUUAGGAAUCUGCCUAUUAGUGGGGGACAACAUCUCGAAAGGGAUGCUAAUACCGCACACGUCCUACGGGAGAAAGCAGGGGACCUUCGGGCCUUGCGCUAAUAGAUGAGCCUAAGUCGGAUUAGCUAGUUGGUGGGGUAAAGGCCUACCAAGGCGACGAUCUGUAGCGGGUCUGAGAGGAUGAUCCGCCACACUGGGACUGAGACACGGCCCAGACUCCUACGGGAGGCAGCAGUGGGGAAUAUUGGACAAUGGGGGGAACCCUGAUCCAGCCAUGCCGCGUGUGUGAAGAAGGCCUUUUGGUUGUAAAGCACUUUAAGCGAGGAGGAGGCUACCGAGAUUAAUACUCUUGGAUAGUGGACGUUACUCGCAGAAUAAGCACCGGCUAACUCUGUGCCAGCAGCCGCGGUAAUACAGAGGGUGCAAGCGUUAAUCGGAUUUACUGGGCGUAAAGCGCGCGUAGGUGGCCAAUUAAGUCAAAUGUGAAAUCCCCGAGCUUAACUUGGGAAUUGCAUUCGAUACUGGUUGGCUAGAGUAUGGGAGAGGAUGGUAGAAUUCCAGGUGUAGCGGUGAAAUGCGUAGAGAUCUGGAGGAAUACCGAUGGCGAAGGCAGCCAUCUGGCCUAAUACUGACACUGAGGUG
This 648-nucleotide ribosomal RNA is filed under the name uncultured bacterium. Its description in RNAcentral is "bacterial SSU rRNA". It matches the Rfam family "Bacterial small subunit ribosomal RNA", at positions 110 to 753 of the family's 1533-position model. The record is from RNAcentral.